Molecule: unclassified non-coding RNA, 514 nt
Filed under: Hevea brasiliensis (rubber tree)
Lineage: Eukaryota; Viridiplantae; Streptophyta; Magnoliopsida; Malpighiales; Euphorbiaceae
Source: RNAcentral
UCUAGCUUUCACAUUCUUUGGCUUUGCCAGAUUAGGAUUUUCAAUCUGAAUAAUGCCUUGAGUUCCCUUCCGCUUUUGUUCAGGUUCAUCAUCUGAUUCUUCUUCAGACUCCUCCCCAGAUUCUUCUUCAGGUUGUUCCUUUUCAUAUUCAGCUUCUUGCUUUUUAAAUGUACGAGGGCGUGAGGAGGUGCCAGCAAGCAUCUCCUCAGGAGUGGAAAAGUGGCGCUGACCGGUGGGCUUGCCCUUAAACUUUCCUCUUCCCAUGGUGACCGCCGGAUAAACUAAACAGAGCUAGAAAGGGAAGAUUGAAUUGGUUGUUUGAAUAUGAUGAGAAGCUGAGCUGAUCAAGAAGCAGUUACUGUGUCUCUUAAAUAGAACUUUUGGUUUUUCCGGAGGAGGAUUUUGAAUUGAACUCAAAAACCCUAGUUCUACUGGAGAAUGGAAAUAUCAAAUAUGGAAUCGGAGCAGCGUGUGGAGUGGAGGGGACAAAUCGUGUGCAAUGAUGUAUACGGAG